ACCAGGCACAAUAUCCAGACCUCCCUUAAUCAUAGCCUGAUUUCUGCCAAUUGCAUUCUCUCCCUUGACUCACUUACCUUUGAGCAGGUGAUACAGAAAUGGGGAAAAAAAAUCUCUGGAGUGCAUGGACUCCAGUAGUGGAACCCAGUAAAUAAGGUCAAGUGCUUUUUGCUCCCUUGGUUCCUAUGCUGGUUUCUAUAAACUUUUCCCUAAUUCUUUGCAAACCUUGUUCAAUAACCUCCCAUUUAAUUCCUGAAUUCUCUGGUUUCUUCAAAAAAAUUCCUUGCUUAAACCAGCUAAUUUGGGUUUUCUGUUAAAAACCAGUAGCAUCUGUUAAACGGAUUAAAUGAAUAAGCCAUUUAAAGAGAUUAUCUCAAUGCCUAUUACAGUAUAAAUGAUCAGUAAAUAUUAACAUUUAUUAUUAUCUGCUCUUGUUAAUCCCUUAGUAUAUGGUGGCAUAUUUCCUUUAUGUUAUAUACAUUAAUCUUCACAUAAAGUUUUUUAAAGAAAAAGAAGUCAGAGAGAUGAGGCAACAUGCAUAAAGUUUCACAGGUCCUAUGUACAGCUGUUCACUUCAUUUUCACGUCUCCUCAAAUGCUGUCUGUCAUAGGAGCCUCACAGACUGUACUGUCUAGUAGAGGCUGGUUUCCUUACCAGGCAUUCUUCCCUACCAUCUUCCAUCCUCCUCCGCAGAUGUAUCACCCACCAGCUAUAAUUAUGUUGUCUGUGGGAUUAUUCCAUACAUACUGUUCAUUUCCGUCCCUAGAUGGUAAGUUUGCAGAGUCUUGCUCUGUUAUAUCUCCAGCACUUAGAAUGGUGCUUGGUAAAUGGUUAAUGCUUGGUAAGUAUUUGUUGAAUAAAUGAAUGAAUAACUGAUGAGUGGAGGUUUGUUUAAGUCCAAAGUCUAGGCAUCUUUCUGCUAAAUGUGGACAAUGCAGACACUAAUAUGAUGCAACUCCACACUUUCAUGAGCUCCCAGAGAAAGGGAUAAGACAGAAGCCGAACCUCACACUACCAGAAAGGAACAUACACCAGCCUUGGAAAACAGUUCGUAUUUCAGAAAAUUAGAGAUCAAUUCUGGAUCCAGGGAUCAUAGCUUCUGAGAAAGAGAUUUCAAGGAGGGGAAGUUGGAAGAAGACGGAAAUGUCUGCAGACCAAUGGAUGAAGUAACAGCAAGAGAAAGCUGGCUCUUAUCCCAGAAAGUCACCUGACCUGAGGAAACCACAGUAAAGGUUCCUGCCCAGGCCUUCCUCUCACUCCUGUCUACUGACAGAAGGACGCAUGUGGCCCUGCCUGGUGUGGGGCCUCCUCCUGCUGGGAACUAACUCUACAAUGAACAUUUUCCUACGUGAGUGUCAUCAGCGGAGUGAUCCAGCCAUCAGCAAGAGGGAGAUGUGAUCUCAACGCAUCCUUCCCUGAUCUUCGGCCAUUCCCUACUCACCCUUUUCUUCAGCUAAAGGCAGCUCCCCACAUCCCUCUCCAAAGCUGAAUGUUCUCUAAUGGUCUUACUGACAACCUGAGAUCAAGUUAAUAUGGAAUAGACGUUCAUUUGAUCUGAGAAGCAAAGAAAUUGGUCCUGAAAUGGUU
Long non-coding RNA from Manis javanica (Malayan pangolin), 1587 nucleotides. RefSeq lists it as uncharacterized. NCBI's taxonomy places the organism in Eukaryota, Metazoa, Chordata, Mammalia, Pholidota, Manidae. The record is from RefSeq and is a predicted model, not a curated record.